This 429-nucleotide ribosomal RNA is filed under the name Gemmatimonadota bacterium. Its description in RNAcentral is "Gemmatimonadetes bacterium partial 16S ribosomal RNA". It matches the Rfam family "Bacterial small subunit ribosomal RNA", at positions 355 to 776 of the family's 1533-position model. Lineage: Bacteria; Pseudomonadati; Gemmatimonadota. The record is from RNAcentral.
UAGGGAAUCUUCGGCAAUGGACGAAAGUCUGACCGAGCAACGCCGCGUGAGUGAAGAAGGUUUUCGGAUCGUAAAACUCUGUUGUUAGAGAAGAACAAGGACGUUAGUAACUGAACGUCCCCUGACGGUAUCUAACCAGAAAGCCACGGCUAACUACGUGCCAGCAGCCGCGGUAAUACGUAGGUGGCAAGCGUUGUCCGGAUUUAUUGGGCAUAAAGCGAGCGCAGGCGGUUUCUUAAGUCUGAUGUGAAAGCCCCCGGCUCAACCGGGGAGGGUCAUUGGAAACUGGGAGACUUGAGUGCAGAAGAGGAGAGUGGAAUUCCAUGUGUAGCGGUGAAAUGCGUAGAUAUAUGGAGGAACACCAGUGGCGAAGGCGGCUCUCUGGUCUGUAACUGACGCUGAGGCUCGAAAGCGUGGGGAGCAAACAGG